This 221-nucleotide unclassified non-coding RNA is filed under the name Hevea brasiliensis (rubber tree). Lineage: Eukaryota; Viridiplantae; Streptophyta; Magnoliopsida; Malpighiales; Euphorbiaceae. The record is from RNAcentral.
UGUAGAUUAACCUGUAUAAUUAAGAAAGUGAUAACCAUCAGCAAACAUGAAGGCUGGUUCUAAAACCUUGGUCUUGCUCUUUAUGUUAAAGUGAUGAACAGAAUGCUUAAGGAAAGGGAAAAAGAGAAGUAAAACUAAAAAUGGUUUGUAAGAAACCUUUUCUCAAGACUUUUUGCAGGUUAAGCACUACAUACACUAGUCCUACUUUUAGCUGAUAUAAG